UAAUGGCCCACCAAGGCGACGACGGGUAGCCGGCCUGAGAGGGUGACCGGCCACACUGGGACUGAGACACGGCCCAGACUCCUACGGGAGGCAGCAGUGGGGAAUAUUGCACAAUGGGCGAAAGCCUGAUGCAGCGACGCCGCGUGAGGGAUGACGGCCUUCGGGUUGUAAACCUCUUUCAGUAGGGAAGAAGCGAAAGUGACGGUACCUGCAGAAGAAGCGCCGGCUAACUACGUGCCAGCAGCCGCGGUAAUACGUAGGGCGCAAGCGUUAUCCGGAAUUAUUGGGCGUAAAGAGCUCGUAGGCGGUUUGUCGCGUCUGCCGUGAAAGUCCGGGGCUCAACUCCGGAUCUGCGGUGGGUACGGGCAGACUAGAGUGAUGUAGGGGAGACUGGAAUUCCUGGUGUAGCGGUGAAAUGCGCAGAUAUCAGGAGGAACACCGAUGGCGAAGGCAGGUCUCUGGGCAUUAACUGACGCUGAGGUGCGAAAGCAUGGGGAGCGAACAGGAUUAGAUACCCUGGUAGUCCAUGCCGUAAACGUUGGGCACUAGGUGUGGGGGACAUUCCACGUUUUCCGCGCCGUAGCUAACGCAUUAAGUG
RNAcentral lists this ribosomal RNA (598 nucleotides) under uncultured bacterium. RNAcentral's name for it is "bacterial SSU rRNA". It matches the Rfam family "Bacterial small subunit ribosomal RNA", at positions 258 to 866 of the family's 1533-position model. The record is from RNAcentral.